UGACAANCUUGGUUGAUCCUGCCAGUAGUCAUAUGCUUGUCUCAAAGAUUAAGCCAUGCAUGUCUCAGUACAAGCCAAAUUAAGGUGAAACCGCGAAAGGCUCAUUAAAUCAGUUAUGGUUCCUUAGAUCGUACCAACAUUUACUUGGAUAACUGUGGUAAUUCUAGAGCUAAUACAUGCAAACAGAGCUCCGACCGGAGACGGAAGGAGCGCUUUUAUUAGAUCAAAACCAAUCGGCGGCGGGUUCGCUUGCGGGCCCGACGUCGUUCUCAUUGACGAAUCUGAAUAACUUUCUGCUGAUCGCACGGUCUCGCACCGGCGACGCAUCUUUCAAAUGUCUGCCUUAUCAACUGUCGAUGGUAGGUUCUGUGCCUACCAUGGUUGUAACGGGUAACGGGGAAUCAGGGUUCGAUUCCGGAGAGGGAGCCUGAGAAACGGCUACCACAUCCAAGGAAGGCAGCAGGCGCGCAAAUUACCCACUCCCGGCACGGGGAGGUAGUGACGAAAAAUAACGAUACGGGACUCAUCCGAGGCCCCGUAAUCGGAAUGAGAACAAUUUAAAUCCUUUAACGAGGAUCAAUUGGAGGGCAAGUCUGGUGCCAGCAGCCGCGGUAAUUCCAGCUCCAAUAGCGUAUAUUAAAGUUGUUUGCGGUUAA
RNAcentral lists this ribosomal RNA (656 nucleotides) under Tainopteron sp. MTEC023638. Its description in RNAcentral is "SSU rRNA". It matches the Rfam family "Eukaryotic small subunit ribosomal RNA", at positions 1 to 622 of the family's 1831-position model. Lineage: Eukaryota; Metazoa; Arthropoda; Insecta; Coleoptera; Lycidae. The record is from RNAcentral.